This is a long non-coding RNA of Meriones unguiculatus (Mongolian gerbil), 1072 nucleotides long. RefSeq lists it as uncharacterized. The transcript is spliced from 2 exons. The record is from RefSeq and is a predicted model, not a curated record. Lineage: Eukaryota; Metazoa; Chordata; Mammalia; Rodentia; Muridae.
AAAUAGACUCAUUAUAUACUGUUUUGUAUGUAGCUCAGCAUAUAUUUCUGAGUCAUCCAUGUAGAUGAGUAUAUUGUAACUUCAUUUUAGUACAGAGUAUUUCAUUGUAUUAGCAUACUACAAUUUUUUGUCCAUUUUCUCAGUGACAGACACUUAGUUUCUAGUAUUGAGCUAUUAUAAGUAAAGCCACCAAGGAAUUUUGUUAUUCUCUUGUCUUGUCUCAUCUCUGCGGUGAUGGAGACUGAAUCCAGGGCCUCACAGAUGCUCAGCAGGGUCACUGCCACUAAGCAACACUCACAGUCUCAGCUACUGCAGAUCUUCUUGUGUGUCUCUUUGUGGACAUGAUUGUUUGUAUUUCCUUGAACAAAUACCUGAAGAACACAAUUGCUAAGUCAGAUAUACAUUUAACCUUUUUUAUUUGUAGCCAGGCUGGCCUCAAGCUUAUUGUAUAGUUAAGGAUGACCUUGUCUUUCUAAUCCUCUUGCCUCCACUACCUAAAUACUAGAAUUAUAGGUAUGUACUUUAUAUAGUGCCAGAAAUCAAACCCAGAACUUUGUGCAUGUGAAGCAAUCAUCCUGUCAAUUGAACUACAUCCCAUCUAUUUUAAUUUUUUUUUUUCUUAAAUUUACAACUUGAAUUUUAGAGACAAGUUCUCACCCUGUAACCCAGGCUGGCCUAAUACUCAAGUUGACAUCAAAUUUGAAGCAGUCUGCCUACUUCGGCCUCCAAAGUGCUGGAAUUACAGACAGGAUUUUCUUGUAUAGCCCUGUCCUGGAACUUACUCCGUAGACCAGGAUGGCCUUGAAACUCAAGAGAUGAUCCUGCCCCUGCCUCACUGGUGCUGGGAUUAAAGGCAACCAAGCCUUGUUGAAAUGAACUUUUCAAGGACCAGAGAGGCCAGUGACUCAGCAGAUGAAGUGUUUGUCAUCAAAUCUGAUGACCUGAGUUUGAUCCCUGAGACCUACAUGGUAGAGGACAGAACCAGCUCUGACCACCACACAUGCAUGUGUUCAUGCAAACACAAUACAUAAGUAAAUAAAUAAAUGUAAUAAAAAUAUUUGAAAAACAUAAA